UGCUAGCGUGAGAGAUGAGGGCCAGGGUC
This 29-nucleotide small RNA is filed under the name Bombyx mori (domestic silkworm). RNAcentral's name for it is "ovarian small RNA-34100". Lineage: Eukaryota; Metazoa; Arthropoda; Insecta; Lepidoptera; Bombycidae. The record is from RNAcentral.